AACCCAUUGUGAGGGCACCUUCUCAAUAGAUCCUUGUAUCUCUCCCAUGCAACGUAGAGUAUUUCUAAAUCCAUCUGCACAAAAGAGGAUAUAUCAUUACGUAAUUU
Gossypium arboreum is the source of this 107-nucleotide non-coding RNA. The record is from Rfam. NCBI's taxonomy places the organism in Eukaryota, Viridiplantae, Streptophyta, Magnoliopsida, Malvales, Malvaceae.